This 332-nucleotide ribosomal RNA is filed under the name uncultured bacterium. RNAcentral's name for it is "bacterial SSU rRNA". It matches the Rfam family "Bacterial small subunit ribosomal RNA", at positions 568 to 898 of the family's 1533-position model. The record is from RNAcentral.
CUCGUAGGCGGUCUGUUGCGUCCGCUGUGAAAACUCGGGGCUUAACCCCGAGCCUGCAGUGGAUACGGGCAGACUAGAGGUAGGUAGGGGAGAAUGGAAUUCCCGGUGUAGCGGUGAAAUGCGCAGAUAUCGGGAGGAACACCGGUGGCGAAGGCGGUUCUCUGGGCCUUACCUGACGCUGAGGAGCGAAAGCGUGGGGAGCGAACAGGAUUAGAUACCCUGGUAGUCCACGCCGUAAACGUUGGGCGCUAGGUGUGGGAUCCUUCCACGGAUUCCGUGCCGCAGCUAACGCAUUAAGCGCCCCGCCUGGGGAGUACGGCCGCAAGGCUAAA